AACGCGAAGAACCUUACCUGGGCUUGAACCGCACAGGACCAGCUUGAGAAAUCAGGCCUUCCCGCAAGGGACCUGUGUAGAGGUGCUGCAUGGCUGUCGUCAGCUCGUGCCGUGAGGUGUUGGGUUAAGUCCCGCAACGAGCGCAACCCUUGUCCAUAGUUGCUAACGCGUAGUGGCGAGAACUCUAUGGAGACUGCCGGUGAUAAACCGGAGGAAGGUGGGGAUGACGUCAAGUCCUCAUGGCCUUUAUGUCCAGGGCUACACACGUGCUACAAUGGACGGUACAAAGAGUCGCGAUCCCGCGAGGGGGAGCUAAUCUCAAAAAGCCGUUCUCAGUUCGGAUUGUUCUCUGCAACUCGAGAGCAUGAAGCUGGAAUCGCUAGUAAUCGCGGAUCAGCACGCCGCGGUGAAUACGUUCCCGGGCCUUGUACACACCGCUCGUC
RNAcentral lists this ribosomal RNA (443 nucleotides) under uncultured bacterium. RNAcentral describes it as "bacterial SSU rRNA". It matches the Rfam family "Bacterial small subunit ribosomal RNA", at positions 958 to 1398 of the family's 1533-position model. The record is from RNAcentral.